UGAGUUCUACCUGUUUCUCCUGUGCUUGCCUAAGGAAUCAAACCAGUAGCAGAGCACCUCGGUAGGAGAGUUUAUGUGAGUAUACAUGCUCCUGUCUUUAAUGCUUUUACUAUACUUUGUAAUUUGUAAUUUUGAUCCUGUACAAGUGUUUCUAGCCACUCGUAUGUAUUCCUUGUAGGUCCAUUCCGUCGUUGAUACUGACACACUGAAUUUAUUUACUCGAAGAAUGUGUUACAUUGGAAAAUUGACUACUCUAGGUUUUCCAUACCUUCAUAACCACCACCUGAGGAAGACUUACACCAGGGGUCCCCAAACUAAGGCCCGGGGGCCGGAUGCGUCCCUCCAAGGUUGUGCUAACAAACAUUUGGUAUAGUGCUACAGUUGUUUCUGAGACAUCCUCUGCCAGUGGCUCCCCCCCCCCCCCCCGCGCCCAAGGUAGGCAUUUGGCGCAUGUAAUUUUUCUCUUAGCAUGGGAGACCCUACCAGGAGCACUGCUACCAUCAGGAACACACAAUCCACAAAAAGGUGAUGCUAUUGAUGGAAAAGAUGCUGCAACAGUCUUCUCAUCUCACGUCUGCCUUUUUAUUCAGAGAUUAGAAAGUACAACCUUUUGCUGCCACCUGGUGGGCAACAUGUUUUCCACAGGUUUUUGUACCAGAUGUUUUUAAAAGUUGACAUAAGCAGAAAAGAGUUUGUGGAAUAGAGUGAUAUUGGACUUGUGUGGACUGAAUUCCACUCUUCAUCAGAUUUAGUGUCAAUGAAUCCAUGGCUUGCAAAUUCUUCAGUUAAGUGGUGCAUGUGCUACACCGCAACUGGACCAUUCAGGCAUCAUAAAAAUCAGAGACAGGAGAUGGGCUAUCUAAUGAUUCUGAGAACUGGCUUUUCACAAGGUUUGCAAAAUUCCUAGGGUCCCAAUGUAGUCCUUCUGGGGCACAGACAAAGGGGAAAAGAACAUACAUUACUAGAUAAAAAAAUUACUAGAUAAGCUUUGGUGUCUCAGGCAUGUUCUGUUUUAAGGCACCUUGUGGUGGGAUACAAGAAUAAAAUUGUUGUUGUUAUUGUUAUUGUUAUUGUUACUAUUAUUUUUAAAAAGAAAUUGUUCUGGCAAAGUAAAAACUUGGAGAGCAAAAGGUAAUGCUUUCCCUAACAAGGGUACUUUUGGCUCCUCCCACAAUUUCCCCUCCCACAAUUGAGGAAACGUUUCAUUUUAAACCUAGGAGCAACAAAUGCCAUCACAUUACAGAAUAGUCCAGGAGCUGCGGUGGUGCAAUGGGUUAAACCCUUUUGCCAAUUGGGCUGUUGUCCAGAAGGUUGCCGGUUUGAAUCCACAAGAUGGGGUGAGCUCCCAUCUGUCAGCCCAUUUUCCCCAAAAGAUGUUCCAAUAAGUGCUAGAUCCUGCUGGGAUUCUGAUCUGGUAAGGGAGCUUCUUCCUCCAUCCAUGUUUGCUCUUUGGGUGAGGAGGAAGCUCCCAAGAGAUGUUCCAGUAAGUCCAAGACCCCGGGGUUUCAACUGAAAUCCCAAUGGGAAGGAAAUAUUGAAGCACCUUGCCAUGCUCUGUGACCACAGGGUGGACUGUAGCCCCGUUCUAUGGAUUUUGUGAACAAACACUUUUGCACUCAAAAGGCAAGCUACAUAAUUAAUGAGACAUUAAAUUGGCUUUCAUGAUAAUUCUGUCUUCUUCCCUUAAAGAACUGAACCACCCAAGGACACACUGAGGCUUGGAUAAUUUUCUUGGAUGGAUGGUUAUACAUAUGCCCAAGAAAGUCCCAGUCCACUUUCAUUGUCAAUUAUGCCUUUGACCCUUGGCAUUUGAGAAGAGCUAUAUCAUGUGAUAUGUGCAGAGGCGGUCCAACCACCAGGCGGGGGAAGCAUUUGCCUGUGGUGCCAUUGUCCCGGGGUGCUGUGCAGGCCCCGGGGGGAUGGCGCCACCCCCCUGCCUCCUUCUCCUUUCAGCCUUUU
Molecule: long non-coding RNA, 1959 nt
Organism: Anolis carolinensis (green anole)
Lineage: Eukaryota; Metazoa; Chordata; Lepidosauria; Squamata; Anolidae
Source: Ensembl